This 564-nucleotide ribosomal RNA is filed under the name uncultured Actinomycetes bacterium. RNAcentral's name for it is "bacterial SSU rRNA". It matches the Rfam family "Bacterial small subunit ribosomal RNA", at positions 338 to 916 of the family's 1533-position model. Lineage: Bacteria; Bacillati; Actinomycetota; Actinomycetes. The record is from RNAcentral.
CCUACGGGAGGCAGCAGUGGGGAAUCUUGUGCAAUGGGCGAAAGCCUGACACAGCAACGCCGCGUGCGGGAAGAAGGCCUUCGGGUCGUAAACCGCUUUCAGCAGGAACGAAAAUGACGGUACCUGCAGAAGAAGGUGCGGCCAACUACGUGCCAGCAGCCGCGGUGACACGUAGGCACCAAGCGUUGUCCGGAUUUAUUGGGCGUAAAGAGCUCGUAGGCGGUUCAGCAAGUCGGGUGUGAAAACUCUGGGCUUAACCCAGAGCCUGCACCCGAAACUGCUGUGACUAGAGUUCGGUAGGGGAGCGGGGAAUUCCUGGUGUAGCGGUGAAAUGCGCAGAUAUCAGGAGGAACACCGGUGGCGAAGGCGCCGCUCUGGGCCGAAACUGACGCUGAGGAGCGAAAGCAUGGGUAGCAAACAGGAUUAGAUACCCUGGUAGUCCAUGCCGUAAACGGUGGGCACUAGGUGUGGGUUCCAACUAACGGGAUCCGCGCCGUCGCUAACGCAUUAAGUGCCCCGCCUGGGGAGUACGGUCGCAAGACUAAAACUCAAAGGAAUUGACGG